This is a long non-coding RNA of Felis catus (domestic cat), 1730 nucleotides long. RefSeq lists it as uncharacterized. The transcript has 3 exons. NCBI's taxonomy places the organism in Eukaryota, Metazoa, Chordata, Mammalia, Carnivora, Felidae. The record is from RefSeq and is a predicted model, not a curated record.
GCCGACCGCCUGCUGCAGGCUGUGUUCGGAAGCCUGGAUGAGUUUGUCUGCCCAGAAGAGGUGCUUGGAGGUCUGCACGCGGAUGGAGCGAUGGUUGGCGGACGCCCUGCCUUCCUCGGCAGCACUCAGGCUUCUAGUUGGACCAUUGCAGCCACAUUUCCCUCCAGCUCGGGCUUCUUAAAGACCCCAGAGUGAGCCCGCAGCACCACACCUGCCUUCCGUCCCAUCCAGACUGCAGAGUGGCUUCAAAGAUCCUGUGUCGUCUGACCUCUGCUCUCUUUUGGCAUCUCCUGGUAUCCAGCCCCAAAGCCCGCUCCCCCAGAGCACAGCAGGCGGGCCCUUUUGUGCCUGAGUGCCUUUGCACAGGCUACUUCAGAUACCAAGAAAGUCUCUCUUCUGGAAAAAUCCUACUCACUCCUGACAGGCCAACUCACGUCUCCUGAGUCCUCUUCUCUGUGACGCACCUAGCUGUCUAACCCACAUUUUAAUUUUUAGUGAACUCAUCAGACUCAGGGCCUAACACAAGGGCUGAAGGGGGUGCCGUAAAUGUCACAGGAGCGAUUUAAGGUGUCUGCAUCGAUUUGUUACUCCACAAGUUUGGGAAAGGGGAAAAGCUCUCUGGUUGUUGGCUCUUGGCACAUUUUUAAUGCUGGCCUGUGUCCUCCUGGGAGAGAAGGUCCCCAUUUCAGUGGAAACCGCUUUGCCCCGUUGGUACGGAGAAGAGUGCAAAGGACAAAGGAGGCGCUCAGUAUCUGUUGAAGCCCACUGCUUCUCCCUGCAAAGGCUCCAAUCCUCAGGAACGACUGAAAGGGAUUUUAGGGUCAUCAGCAGUUUGGGAUAAUUCGUGAGUUGUUUCCUGGGCACAAGGCCACUCUUGGCGUGUGCCCAGAAACCCCUUCAAGAUUCUGCUGAAUCUGUGGCCUGUACUCCCAGGUGCUCAUGUGAGCCCUGGCGCACAAGCUCGUGCGCCGCGCAAGGCCCAGGCCGGGCGUGGCAGUCAGAGGGCGGAGGACUGUUGGCUGGGGUCGUCCUUCCUUCUAGGCGGUCCGGGGCUUUGGGGGCAGGGGGGAGGGGCCCCGGGCCGAAUCCCCGCCUCUGCUCUGCGCCCCGCCCCUCCCCCUUUCCCCGCCCCGCCCGCCUGGAAGAAUCCCUCCGCGCCCGGCCCAGCCGCGCGCCAGCCCACUCCCACCUGUCACCCCCAUGCUGACCGAGGCUCUGCCAGCGGGCUGCUGGCUGCUGCCCCUCCGCCUCCAGUGAGCGCUUUGGUUGGGGGUUGGGGGGGGGGCGCCGGCGCCUGUGAUGUCGCCGCCUCUGUGACGUCCCUGCCGCGACCCUCCCGCGGACAGGGAACCGCGCUCAGGAUUCCCGGCUCACGGGCGGGGCGGCCCUUGGGAGGUGUCCUCCGGAGAAGGCUGUCCCACCCUCGCAGCCCCAGCCCUCUCCAAAGACGCAGGACUGCUUGGCUCUUCCCAGCAGUCCCAGAGAGGGCCGCGACCGAGUUCUCUACAACCUGAACUCUGCAGUACCAAGGCUGGAGAUCUUCAUGUCCUGGGGGCUGGGGGUCCCUCCAUGGGGAGGAGAAUGGCUCGAUGUGGAUAGCUGGACAGACGCCGCCUUGGCAAGACACGGGGACGAGCUUCUCCCAAGGAGGGAUCUCAGGGGCCACCCCUAACCCCCAGAAGCGGAGGCUGGCAGGCCCCCACACAAUGAUUCACAGUUGAUUAAUGCUA